This 701-nucleotide ribosomal RNA is filed under the name Dianema sp. (in: plasmodial slime molds). Its description in RNAcentral is "SSU rRNA". It matches the Rfam family "Eukaryotic small subunit ribosomal RNA", at positions 27 to 546 of the family's 1831-position model. The record is from RNAcentral. Lineage: Eukaryota; Evosea; Eumycetozoa; Trichiida; Dianemataceae.
UAUGCUUGUCCCGAAGAUUAAGCCAUGCAUGCCUUCGAUUUUGUAGCUUGAUUAAAUCUGCGAUGGGCUCCGUACAACUGUUGCAACCCACCAGCGCCCCGGGGGGACCCGUGCGGCCUCGUCUUCAAGAACACGUAAGUAUAGCCUCUUCAACAAUCUGGUAUGUAAAAUGGUAUGGUAAAAAAGUAAGCAAAUUUGGAAAUGUCCUCGGCGGAUAACCGAGGUAAUUCUUUGGCUAAUACGUGCUUGGAGAACCAAUGGUCGGGCUCUCAGUGAACCUGGCAUCCCCCGCAAACGCCGGGGGAAUCAACUGCCAGAACACCUGCAAAGGCACCGUUGGGGCCGCCGAAACUGAACGCCGGUUGCCUGCCGUCGCCCUUCUUUGGGCGGCGUCGGGUCUUCCACGUGAGGUGGCUGGCGACGCCCUACCGGCGUUCUUUCGCCGGUGCGCAUUGAGGGGCCUCCGACCUAUCAACUGGGAUGAAUGGAGCCCGGCUCCACAUGGUUGCAACGGGUACAGAGGAUUAGGGUUCGGUCCUGGAGAGGUAGCCUCAAAAAUCGCUACCACUUCUAAGGAAGGCAGCAGGCGCGCAACGUUCCCAAUGGGGAAGCCCUGAGGACGUGAGGGGACAUAGCAAUGCCGGGCGAUUUAAAGCUUGGCAAUUGAAAUGGGGGCGAUUUAAAUCCCCCACCGAGUAACA